Molecule: ribosomal RNA, 253 nt
Filed under: uncultured bacterium
Lineage: Bacteria
Description: partial 16S ribosomal RNA
Rfam family: Bacterial small subunit ribosomal RNA
Source: RNAcentral
UACGUAGGGUGCAAGCGUUGUCCGGAUUUAUUGGGCGUAAAGAGCGUGUAGGCGGCCAUACAGGUCAGCUGUGAAAACUCGAGGCUCAACCUCGAGACGUCGGUUGAAACCGUAUGGCUAGAGUCCGGAAGAGGAGAGUGGAAUUCCCGGUGUAGCGGUGAAAUGCGCAGAUAUCGGGAGGAACACCUGUGGCGAAAGCGGCUCACUGGACCGCAACUGACGCUGAGGCGCGAAAGCUAGGGGAGCAAACAGG